RNAcentral lists this ribosomal RNA (514 nucleotides) under Pantoea sp. Its description in RNAcentral is "bacterial SSU rRNA". It matches the Rfam family "Bacterial small subunit ribosomal RNA", at positions 664 to 1178 of the family's 1533-position model. Lineage: Bacteria; Pseudomonadati; Pseudomonadota; Gammaproteobacteria; Enterobacterales; Erwiniaceae. The record is from RNAcentral.
GAAUUCCAGGUGUAGCGGUGAAAUGCGUAGAGAUCUGGAGGAAUACCGGUGGCGAAGGCGGCCCCCUGGACAAAGACUGACGCUCAGGUGCGAAAGCGUGGGGAGCAAACAGGAUUAGAUACCCUGGUAGUCCACGCCGUAAACGAUGUCGACUUGGAGGUUGUUCCCUUGAGGAGUGGCUUCCGGAGCUAACGCGUUAAGUCGACCGCCUGGGGAGUACGGCCGCAAGGUUAAAACUCAAAUGAAUUGACGGGGGCCCGCACAAGCGGUGGAGCAUGUGGUUUAAUUCGAUGCAACGCGAAGAACCUUACCUACUCUUGACAUCCAGAGAACUUAGCAGAGAUGCUUUGGUGCCUUCGGGAACUCUGAGACAGGUGCUGCAUGGCUGUCGUCAGCUCGUGUUGUGAAAUGUUGGGUUAAGUCCCGCAACGAGCGCAACCCUUAUCCUUUGUUGCCAGCGAUUCGGUCGGGAACUCAAAGGAGACUGCCGGUGAUAAACCGGAGGAAGGUGGGG